This 605-nucleotide ribosomal RNA is filed under the name uncultured bacterium. RNAcentral's name for it is "bacterial SSU rRNA". It matches the Rfam family "Bacterial small subunit ribosomal RNA", at positions 113 to 732 of the family's 1533-position model. The record is from RNAcentral.
ACACGUGGGCAACCUGCCCUGAAGCGGGGGACAACAACUCGAAAGAGUUGCUAAUACCGCAUGUGUAUCGGAAUGGCAUCAUUCAGGAUACAAAGCCGCAAGGCACUUCAGGAUGGGCCCGCGGCCUAUCAGCUAGUUGGUGAGGUAACGGCCCACCAAGGCUUCGACGGGUAGCUGGUCUGAGAGGACGAUCAGCCGGAUUGGGACUGAGAUACGGCCCAGACUCCUACGGGGGGCAGCAAUUAGGAAUCUUGCACAAUGGGCGAAAGCCUGAUGCAGCGACGUCGCGUGAAGGAUGAAAUCUUUCGGGAUGUAAACUUCUUUUACCGAGGAAGAAAAAAAUGACGGUACUCGGUGAAUAAGCCCCGGCUAACUACGUGCCAGCAGCCGCGGUAAUACGUAGGGGGCGAGCGUUGUCCGAAGUUACUGGGCGUAAAGAGCGCGUAGGCGGGUCUUUAAGUGAGGGGUGAAAGUCCGAGGCUCAACCUCGGAACUGCCUUUCAUACUGGGGACCUUGAGUGUGGGAGAGGCGAGUGGAAUGGUCGGUGUAGCGGUGAAAUGCGUAGAUAUCGAUCGGAACACCCAUGGCGAAGGCAGCUCGCUGG